ACUAAAGCUAGCCCAACUAUAGACUAAAACUCAACUAACACAUAAACAUUAAACAAAACAUUUACUAAUUAAAGUAUAGGAGAUAGAAAUAUUUUUAAGGCGCUAUAGAGAAAGUACCGCAAGGGAACGAGUGAAAGAAAAAUUUAAAGUAAUAAACAGCAAAGCUUACCCCUUUUACCUUUUGCAUAAUGAGUUAACUAGAAAACCUUAGCAAAGAGAACUUAAGUUAAGUGCCCCGAAACCAGACGAGCUACCUGAGAGCAGCACACAAAGAGCGAACUCGUCUAUGUAGCAAAAUAGUGAGAAGACUUUCAGGUAGAGGUGAAAAGCCUAACGAGCCUGGUGAUAGCUGGUUGUCCAGAAAAAGAAUAUAAGUUCGACUUUAACCCAUGCAAAACAACACCAUAAAAAUUAUAAUGCAGGAUUAAAUGAUAAUCUAAAGAGGUACAGCCCUUUAGAUACAGGAAACAACCUUAAACGGAGAGUAAGUAUAAAAAACAAUCAUAGUUGGCCUAAAAGCAGCCAUCAAUUAAGAAAGCGUUCAAGCUCAACAAUACGUAUAUUGUAAUUUCAAUAGUUCAACUAACUCCCAAACUUCAACUGGACUAAUCUAUAUAAAUAGAAGAAAUACUGUUAAUAUGAGUAACAAGAAUUAUUUCUCCCAGCACAAGUCUAUAUCAGACCGGAUAACCCACUGAUAGUUAACAAACUAAUAAUAAGAAACUAAACAUAAAACACUUAUUACGCAGAUUGUUAAUCCAACACAGGUGUGCUAAAAUUAGGGAAAGAUUAAAAGAAGUAAAAGGAACUCGGCAAACAGAAACCCCGCCUGUUUACCAAAAACAUCACCUCUGGCAUUAAUAGUAUCAGAGGCACUGCCUGCCCGGUGACAUAAGUUAAACGGCCGCGGUAUCCUGACCGUGCAAAGGUAGCAUAAUCAUUUGUUCUUUAAUUAGGGACUUGUAUGAAUGGCCACACGAGGGUUUAACUGUCUCUUACUUCCAAUCAGUGAAAUUGACCUUCCCGUGAAGAGGCGGGAAUAAUAAAAUAAGACGAGAAGACCCUAUGGAGCUUUAAUUAGCUAGCUCAAGAAAAUAACAUAAUAACCCAACAGGCAACAACACUACCGUAACUGAGCUAGUAAUUUCGGUUGGGGUGACCUCGGAGUACAAAAUAACCUCCGAGAGAUUUCAGUUAAGACCUACAAGUCAAGACCUGUAAAAAUCAUAAUUGAUCCAAUUAAUUUUGAUCAACGGAACAAGUUACCCUAGGGAUAACAGCGCAAUCCUAUUUAAGAGUCCAUAUCGACAAUAGGGUUUACGACCUCGAUGUUGGAUCAGGACAUCCCAAUGGUGCAACCGCUAUUAAUGGUUCGUUUGUUCAACGAUUAAAGUCCUACGUGAUCUGAGUUCAGACCGGAGCAAUCCAGGUCGGUUUCUAUCUAUUGUAUAUUUCUCCCAGUACGAAAGGACAAGAGAAAUGAGGCCAACCCUGCAUGGGAGCCUUAAAAUUAAUAGAUGAUAUAAUCUCAAUCUAGUAAUUUAUAAGAAUUCUGCCCUAGAAAUAGGGCCUC
Talpa occidentalis (Iberian mole) is the source of this 1573-nucleotide non-coding RNA. Lineage: Eukaryota; Metazoa; Chordata; Mammalia; Eulipotyphla; Talpidae. The record is from the annotation of a RefSeq genome assembly.